This 103-nucleotide small nuclear RNA is filed under the name Vulpes vulpes (red fox). Lineage: Eukaryota; Metazoa; Chordata; Mammalia; Carnivora; Canidae. The record is from RNAcentral.
UUGCUUUGGCAGCAUUUACACUAAAACUGGAAUGAUACAGAAAAGAUUAGCAUGGCCCUUGUGCAAGGAUGACAUGCACAUUUGUGAAGUGUUCCAUAAUUUU